This 1119-nucleotide long non-coding RNA is filed under the name Salmo salar (Atlantic salmon). RNAcentral's name for it is "lncRNA (ENSSSAG00000084097.1)". The record is from RNAcentral. Lineage: Eukaryota; Metazoa; Chordata; Actinopteri; Salmoniformes; Salmonidae.
GCUCCUGUGCGUCACUGAAACAGUAUGAAAGGUUCUCUGGUUAAACGUACUAUAAGGCAAUAUUGACACCAAGCUGUAGAAAGAGGCAACUACAGCUGGUACAGAGUAAACCAGUGGUACAGAGUAAACCAGUGCUACAGAGUAAACCAGUGGUACAGAGUAAACCAGUGGUACAGAGUAAACCAGUGCUACAGAGUAAACCACUGGUACAGAGUAAACCAGUGGUACAGAGUAAACCAGUGGUCAGCUACAGCUGGUACAGAGUAAACCAGUGGUACAGAGUAAACCAGUGGUACAGAGUAAACCAGUGGUCAGCUACAGAGCAUAUUUUUUCAGGUGCGGGAGAGCAAACAUUGAAAAAAAAAGUGUAUCUUUUCUCAAAGUUUGAAACAACAGAUGUAUCUUAUAGAAUAUCAUUAUAGAAUAUGCAUAACAUUGCCUCCUCCAAUUGACCACGCCUCCGCAUUAUUGUCUCAAGAAAAUGUUAUAUUUUUAAUACCCUCAAACACCAAGAUAAGCGUACCUACUCCAAAAUAGGCCAUCAUCACUGUCAAUCGCGAAUGAUAAUUCUUCACACUUCAGCAGUGAAAUGUCCAAACUGCAAGCUGUAUCUGCAUGGCAAUCAACUGAUCGCAAUCAGUUUCAUGGGAAUAUGAAUUUAGAUAAAAUGUUAUUUGAUAUGUCACAUGCGCCGAAUACAACAGGUACAAUACAACCUUACUGUGAAAUGCUUACUUACAAGCCCUUAAAACCAACAAUGCAGUUAAGAAAAUACCUAAAAAAAAGUAAGAGAUAAGAAUAACAAAUAAUUAAAAGAGCAGCAGUAAAUAACAAUAGAGGGGCUACAUUAUAUACAGGGGGAACUGGUACAGAGUUAAUGUGCAGGGGCACAGGUUAGUAAUGAGGCUAUAUAAAGGGGGUACAGGUUAGUUGAGGUAAUAUGUACAUGUAGGUAGAGUUAAAGUGACUAUGCACAGAUUAUAAACAGAGAGUAGCAGCAGCGUAAAAGAGGGUUCUGGGUAGCCAUUUGAUUAGCUGUUCAGGAGUCUUAUGGCUUGGGGGUAGAAGCUGUUAAGAAGCCUUUUGGACCUCGACUUGGCGCUCCGGUACCACUUGCCG